CCCUCUUGAUGUGGGAGUGUCAUAUAUCAAUCUGUUGAUUUCAUUGGCUGAGCAAUAAAGAAACUGCUUGGCUUAGCUUAGAGCAUAGAUGGGAGGAGGAAACAGAAUAGAAUUCUGGGCGGAAGAGGAAGUGAGGUCAGACUCUGCUCUGCUCCCAGAGAGACCCGACAGCUCUGCUGGAGCAGAGACGCCAUGCUCAGCUCUCCCAGGCAGCUGCAACCCACGACGGACUUAGGCUAGAAUCUUCCCGGAAUACUGGGGGAAGAGAAAGAUUCGUCUGACGCUGGCCAAGGAAGAACCCUGUUCCCCAGGAAGACAGUUCACGUUCUUCUGACAAUGUGUAGGACCCCAGAAGUGGAGACAAGGGUGAAUCGACAGCCUCCCCCCACUCUCUUUCCUGGAGCAGACCAGCUGGCCGCAAAGUGCAGAGCCUCCUUCCGUCCCCAGUCCAUGCCCAAGAAGCUAAGGGCUUAGAGGUGGCCACAGACAGAAAGGAGGACACAGCACGGAGGGGAAGGCACCUCCACAAGGACAGGAGCCCAUACCGCUCAUCACAGGCAUAUGUCAGGCUCAGUCCCUGUGCUGGUGACAACACAGGGACAGGGCAGACAAGCCCUGCUCUCCUACAGGUGGCAGAUGACCAGACUCAGAAGUGCAGAUAGUCCUGACUACCUUGGACAGAGGCGUGGAGGAGGGGAGACAUCUCAACUUGUAGGAGCAGACAUGAAGUCACUGAGUUUCCGCGCCCUGCCCUGUGUUGUGUGGGUGAGAGAAGGGUCUGCUCCCUUCUAGCCAUUGGAGCCCUCAAAGCCUGAUCUAUGCCAGGGAGGUAGAGGGAGGAAAGAUGGGCUCCAUGCUACCCACUGGCCUGGUCAGGCUACGGCAGGAGCGCAUGAACCACACCUCUCUACUGAGAACUUGGAGACCACCUAAGAUUUACCCUGUGAUAUACACAGGCGACUCUGAUCCCUAGUGUCCUUAAAGUCACACAGCAAUCCGUAAAUAGAAUUUUCCCACCUUCCUGAAUGCAGUGUGUUAGUAACAGAGAGGAGAGUGGAUAAGUAGUGUGAUAAAUAGUCCUUUUGAAGAGAACACAGCCCCUGGUCACAGUAUGUCCCAAUUCCUGUACUUAAAUACUUAACCAAAGUUAACCUUUUGCCAGCCUAAACCGAGGUUUCUGGAGGAGGGGAGUAAUUUUUUGUUUUUACCCAAAGGCCCCACCCUAGCCCAGGUGGUCACUGGAUACCAGGACAGCUGCCUAUUUAUGGAGUCUCAAGACUCCCUCCUCCCAGAUCAAGGUCACAGCAACUGAAAACAAUGCUGGAUAGACUGAGCGGGCAGGGACAGGGAUCUGUGAGAGGCUCAAAAGCUGCUGGGCCCUGCGGUCCCUGAACUGGGCCACAGUGAGGCCUUUCAUCUCCCGCCUUCGCCUCUUCCCACCCCGCUACCCCAGUGCAGCAAUUAAGGCGCAAAUUAGGAUACUUUGAUCAUCUUUAGAAAUGGCCACAUGGAAGAGGGACACUGCCAAACAAUUAGGGACAAGGGGCUGGGCGUUCAGUGGCUUGCUUAGGGGGUAAGAAUGCCCAGGACACCCACCCCAUCCCUUGCUCUCCUCCCUCCAAGAGGGCCUGCCCCCAACAUAGCAGUGAACUCCUCAGGGGGGCAGAAGCAGAUGGGGAUCCCCCUCCCAAACCCUGCCCACCAGUCUCCCUCUGCCUGGCCCCCAGCCCAACCGUCGGCUUUUCAUCCCGGGCUCGACCUCUUUGAAGCAGCCGCAGUAACAAGGGCUGCUUUGACAGAAGUGGGGGACUCAGAGCCGGGAUGAUGAAACUUCAAAGGUGAGGGUCGAGCCCACUACCUCAUUCCCUUGCCCAGGCCUGGCUGCCCUCCCACGCACCCCCCCUUCGGUCCUCUAUAUAGCCCCCUAGCACCAUUUCCCUGAGGGCUCCCGGGAGGUGAGGUCCAGGUGAGGUGCAGACCACCAGAAAUGGGUAAUUCGGUGUAAGGAAACAGGAUUGGGUGGUUUGAGGAACACAAAUCCUGAGCCCAGGAAGAGGGUGGAUUCCAGGAAGAGGACAGGGUCUCCUGCCUCGGCCCCGGGUCACCAUGCUGCUGGCUGUGUUGCUUCUGCUGCUGCUACU
This is a long non-coding RNA of Alexandromys fortis (reed vole), 2141 nucleotides long. RefSeq lists it as uncharacterized. NCBI's taxonomy places the organism in Eukaryota, Metazoa, Chordata, Mammalia, Rodentia, Cricetidae. The record is from RefSeq and is a predicted model, not a curated record. The transcript has 3 exons.